GCCUUCGUGGUGUAGUGGUCAGCACGCUCCACGCUUAACCGAGAGAUCCGUGGUUCGAUUCCCGGCGAAGCUU
RNAcentral lists this transfer RNA (73 nucleotides) under Stegodyphus mimosarum. It matches the Rfam family "tRNA". From Rfam's summary of the family: Transfer RNA (tRNA) molecules are approximately 80 nucleotides in length. Their secondary structure includes four short double-helical elements and three loops (D, anti-codon, and T loops). The record is from Rfam by way of RNAcentral. Lineage: Eukaryota; Metazoa; Arthropoda; Arachnida; Araneae; Eresidae.